This 494-nucleotide ribosomal RNA is filed under the name uncultured bacterium. Its description in RNAcentral is "partial 16S ribosomal RNA". It matches the Rfam family "Bacterial small subunit ribosomal RNA", at positions 28 to 507 of the family's 1533-position model. The record is from RNAcentral.
GACGAACGCUGGCGGCGUGCUUAACACAUGCAAGUCGAACGGUGAAGCGCCUUCCUUUUUGGUGGGUGUGGAUGAGUGGCGAACGGGUGAGUAACACGUGAGUAACCUGCCCCCUUCUUCUGGAUAACCGCAUGAAAGUGUGGCUAAUACGGGAUAUUCUGGUUCUGUCGCAUGAUGGGUCUGGGAAAGAUAUUGUUUCGGUGGGGGAUGGGCUCGCGGCCUAUCAGCUUGUUGGUGGGGUGAUGGCCUACCAAGGCGGUGACGGGUAGCCGGCCUGAGAGGGUGGACGGUCACACAGGGAAUGAGACACGGCCCAGACUCCUACGGGAGGCAGCAGGGGGGAAUAUUGAACAAUGGGCGCAAGCCUGAUGCAGCGACGCCGCGUGAGGGAUGGAGGCCUUCGGGUUGUGAACCUCUUUCGCCAGUGAAGCAGGCCUGCCUCGUUUGUGGGUGGGUUGACGGUAGCUGGAUAAGAAGCGCCGGCUAACUACGUG